UCCGUAGGUGAACCUGCGGAGGGAUCAUUACCGAGUUUACAACUCCCAAACCCCAAUGUGAACGUUACCAAACUGUUGCCUCGGCGGGAUUUCUGCCCCGGGCGCGUCGCAGCCCCGGACCAAGGCGCCCGCCGGAGGACCAAUUUACAAACUCUUUUGUAUAUCCCAUCGCGGAUUCUUUACAUUCUGAGCUUUCUCGGCGCUCCUAGCGAGCGUUUCGAAAAUGAAUCAAAACUUUCAACAACGGAUCUCUUGGUUCUGGCAUCGAUGAAGAACGCAGCGAAAUGCGAUAAGUAAUGUGAAUUGCAGAAUUCAGUGAAUCAUCGAAUCUUUGAACGCACAUUGCGCCCGCCAGUAUUCUGGCGGGCAUGCCUGUCCGAGCGUCAUUUCAACCCUCGAACCCCUCCGGGGGGUCGGCGUUGGGGAUCGGCACUUACCUGCCGGCCCCGAAAUACAGUGGCGGUCUCGCCGCAGCCUCUCCUGCGCAGUAGUUUGCACACUCGCACCGGGAGCGCGGCGCGUCCACGGCCGUAAAACAACCCAAACUUCUGAAAUGUUGACCUCGGAUCAGGUAGGAAUACCCGCUGAACUUAAGCAUAUCAAUAAGCGGAGGA
RNAcentral lists this ribosomal RNA (614 nucleotides) under Trichoderma brevicompactum. RNAcentral describes it as "eukaryotic LSU rRNA". The stretch from base 233 to 386 matches the Rfam family "5.8S ribosomal RNA". The record is from RNAcentral. Lineage: Eukaryota; Fungi; Ascomycota; Sordariomycetes; Hypocreales; Hypocreaceae.